AAAAACGACCUCAGGAUUAGAGGUGGUGAAUCACUUGAGAUACGUGGCUCAGUUUGAAACCCUCAAGAAAUUAGAAGAAGAACUUGAUGCUUAAAAAAAAAUUCGUAGAUAUUAAAGAGAGACGUGCAACAAGUAAACAUUACUUUGAAUUUCUUAGUUAAAAAGGAAAAGUAAACGAUACUGAGGAUAGUGAUGCUAAUCUGCCGGCACCAAUUCAUUCCGAAAUCUAUAAAAUAUUGUACUCUCUCCAAAUGCACGAUACUAUUUUUGAAAACUAAAUGGUGAUCGACAAAUUUUCUAGGUCGCAGGUCAAUCACACUCCACCGGUUCAACCGAGUUCACAGUUUAAAACCAAUAUAUAGCUUCCAGCGAGGUAAACGAUGUUUUCUAUAUGGUUCGUCUUAUCUGAUGUUUAAUGUUGUUAAGGGGGUACUUCACAAUAUUUAUAUUUUUCACUUAUUAACUCGUAUUUGGAAAAUAAAAAUAGGGGACAUUUAAGUAGAACCUUAGAUUUUGAGAAAAAUAAAAUUAUUUAAAGUCGAUCAAGCUCCGGUACACUUUGAUGCCUUUACUGCCACACAUUCUAGAAAGAUUUCAUCAAUAAAUCUAGGAGUCAUGAAGUCAAACUUGGUAGCGUAUAUAAAGGCAAGGUCCGUACCUUUUUGUACCUUAAAUGAUAUGCCCUUUUGCAUGAUGAAAAACAUGAACUACAGCACUAAAAGAAAAUAUAAAAUCAACCACCAUACGAUAACAACAUGAACUUAACCAUUAUACUACAAAACAUUUAAAAUUUUGAUCUACUUCAAUUUUUAUUAGGGGUGUUCAAUCCGGAUAUCGGUUCGGUUUCGGUUCGGUUUUUUUUUCGGUUUUUGGUAUUUCGGUUAGUAAAAUAUAACUACCAUUCUAAAUCCAUAUUUACUUCGGUUCGGUUCGGUUUAUAUACUGUCGGUUUUCGGUUUAUUCGGUUUUAUACCAAAAAACAUAAUUAUUUUGUUGGAGAUCAUAUUAUAUGAAUUUUAGAGUCAUAUUGUCAACAUAAUAAUUUAUUAAAAAUAUAUUACAUGUUCAAAUAAAUGAACAAAAAAGUAAAAAUGCUUCUACCAUCAAAUAAAAUAAUCAAAUUUAUAACUAAAAUCAAAGUUUGAAAUUUUGAAAAUGAAAAUAUGAAACAAAACAGAAAAAAAGUUUUUCCACUCUUCCAUAUUUAGUGUUCAUUAAAGUCAUGUUUUUUCAAUUAAAAAUUUUCCAUUAAUUAUUGUCCAUCAAAUUUAUAAUCUUCAUAUUUAAUUUAGCGAAGACUAAAAUAAAUUAAAAAGAUCAAAAAAAAGACUUAGAAAAUAAGAUGUCUGAAUUGCGAUAUAUUGUUAUUUAGUUAUAGUUCAAGUGUUUUACAAAUUAUGGUUUUUUAUUACUAUAAAAUUAUGGUAAUAGUUAUUAACACAAAUUUAACUUAUGUAACAAAUAGAUUUUCAUGUAUUGUUAUAAAAUAGAUACAUAUUUACAUGUUUCUACUUUUAAUCGGUUUUGUUCGGUUUAUUCGGUUUAAUCGGUUAUAUACCAAACCAUAUCCAAAUCCUACGGUUUUUAUAAAAUUAUAUCCAUUCGGUUUAUAUGGUAUAUACAAAAACCAAACCAUAUUGUCUAUUUCGGUUCGGUUCGGUUCAGUACGGUUCGGUUUUACCAUAUUGAACAGCCCUAAUUUUUAUUAACUUGUUAGCGUAUACAACUUUCGUGAGCUUUUAGCCAAUGGCAGGUCUUGCGUAUAUAGUAACUCUUGAAUAAAAAAAUUCAAAAAUGAUUUCAUGUAACCAUAUUGUCACAACCAAAUGUUCAUUUUCCUUUUCUUUUCUUUUCCACUCAUGACUCAACUCAUAUAGUCAUAUGGCUUGCUUCUUAAAUUAUAGCGCCACACUAGUCCCAAAGAAUUAAAAAUUUUAUAAUUAGCAAAUGCUCUAUUUAUAUGUAGUUCUCGUUCACUGAUAGCGAUUGAGUCCGAGAAUCUAAACUAAUCAAGAUAUCAAUUAGAGAAAUAAGGGGAAUCCAAGUGGGUAAAUAAAGAGACAAACACAGCUGAAAGACGCAUUUGUCUUGUCCGAAACACAUCACAACGUAAUUAUUCUUGAAGUGCCCCCACAAAUCUUUGUUGAUUUCGUAAGUUACACUGAUUUCUUGUUUGAGUUCGUCGACAUACCUAUGGGCAACAAUGGACGAAAGGCGUUGGCGUCACAAACUCACAAUGAUGAAAAAGCCAAAACACAUCAAACUGUACUUGAUGUUAAAGGAAACUUCCCGGAAGCUGCCUGCUUGAAUCUUGAGGAUACGUCUAUACACUUCUCACAUGCGCGUAUCAUGCAUGUGGAAGAUGUUGAUAUCGACCCACUCUUCUUGGAUAGAAGACACGAUAGUAUCUUUUGUCUGUUUAUAAGGUUUUUAAAUUAAAUGGAACAUCAGCGUCUACAUUUUUGUAAGUUCUUCCAAUUUUACAUGUUAGGGUAUCUAUAGACCACUAGCAGUUUCUUAUAUAAUUUUCGGCCACAGACCAUUUGAAGAGCUGGUCCCUUGAUGUGUACGGAACAAGAGAAUUCUAUUACAAAUUCUUAUCUUCUUACAAGAGACUUCACA
This 2622-nucleotide long non-coding RNA is filed under the name Brassica napus (rape). RNAcentral's name for it is "long non-coding RNA (BNAP_LNC003768)". The record is from RNAcentral. Lineage: Eukaryota; Viridiplantae; Streptophyta; Magnoliopsida; Brassicales; Brassicaceae.